GACGAACGCUGGCGGCGUGCCUAAUACAUGCAAGUAGAACGCUGAAGAGAGGAGCUUGCUCUUCUUGGAUGAGUUGCGAACGGGUGAGUAACGCGUAGGUAACCUGCCUUGUAGCGGGGGAUAACUAGUGGAAACGAUAGCUAAUACCGCAUAACAAUCGAUGACACAUGUCAUGUAUUUGAAAUUGGCAAUUGCUCCACUACAAGAUGGACCUGCGUUGUAUUAGCUAGUAGGUGAGGUAACGGCUCACCUAGGCGACGAUACAUAGCCGACCUGAGAGGGUGGUCGGCCACACUGAGACGGAGACCGGGCACAGUGGCAUGCGGGAGGCGGCAGUAGUGCGACUUCGGUCAUGAGGGGAACACUGACCGCGCGACGCCGCGUCAGUGCCGAAGGUUUUCGGAUCGUAAAGCUCUGCUGUCCGGCAAGAAAGCGUGUGAGACUGGAAAGUUCACACUGUGACGGUAGCUUACAAGAAAGGGCCGGCUAACUACGUG
Molecule: ribosomal RNA, 497 nt
Filed under: uncultured bacterium
Lineage: Bacteria
Description: partial 16S ribosomal RNA
Rfam family: Bacterial small subunit ribosomal RNA
Source: RNAcentral